This 486-nucleotide ribosomal RNA is filed under the name uncultured bacterium. RNAcentral describes it as "partial 16S ribosomal RNA". It matches the Rfam family "Bacterial small subunit ribosomal RNA", at positions 30 to 507 of the family's 1533-position model. The record is from RNAcentral.
AUUGAACGCUGGCGGCAUGCCUUACACAUGCAAGUCGAACGGCAGCACGGGUGCUUGCACCUGGUGGCGAGUGGCGAACGGGUGAGUAAUACAUCGGAACAUGUCCUGUAGUGGGGGAUAGCCCGGCGAAAGCCGGAUUAAUACCGCAUACGAUCUACGGAUGAAAGCGGGGGACCUUCGGGCCUCGCGCUUUCGGGUUGGCCGAUGGCUGAUUAGCUAGUUGGUGGGGUAAAGGCCUACCAAGGCGACGAUCAGUAGCUGGUCUGAGAGGACGACCAGCCACACUGGGACUGAGACACGGCCCAGACUCCUACGGGAGGCAGCAGUGGGGAAUUUUGGACAAUGGGCGAAAGCCUGAUCCAGCAAUGCCGCGUGUGUGAAGAAGGUCUUCGGGUUGUAAAGCACUUUUAUCCGGAAAGAAAUCCUUGGCCCGAAUACGGUCGGGGGAUGACGGUACCGGAAGAAUAAGCACCGGCUAACUACGUG